CUCAACCCCGUGCGUGGCAUGCGAUACUGUGCGGCUGGAGACAGACAGGGGCGAGCGGAAUUCCCGGUGUAGCGGUGGAAUGCGUAGAUAUCGGGAAGAACACCCGUGGCGAAGGCGGCUCGCUGGGUCUCGUCUGACGCUGAAGCGCGAAAGCGUGGGGAGCGAACAGGAUUAGAUACCCUGGUAGUCCACGCCGUAAACGCUGGGUACUAGAUGUUGGGAGGCAUGGCCCUCUCAGUGUCGCAGCUAACGCAUUAAGUACCCCGCCUGGGGAGUACGGCCGCAAGGCUGAAACUCAAAGGAAUUGACGGGGGCCCGCACAAGCGGUGGAGCAUGUGGUUUAAUUCGAAGCAACGCGCAGAACCUUACCAACCCUUGACAUGGGACGUUUGGAUUGUGGAGACACUUUCCUUCAGUUCGGCUGGCGU
RNAcentral lists this ribosomal RNA (428 nucleotides) under uncultured bacterium. Its description in RNAcentral is "bacterial SSU rRNA". It matches the Rfam family "Bacterial small subunit ribosomal RNA", at positions 608 to 1029 of the family's 1533-position model. The record is from RNAcentral.